RNA transcript from Lycium barbarum (goji berry), 1500 nucleotides. It is a transcript of the gene named epimerase family protein SDR39U1 homolog, chloroplastic, with no coding region annotated. NCBI's taxonomy places the organism in Eukaryota, Viridiplantae, Streptophyta, Magnoliopsida, Solanales, Solanaceae. The transcript is spliced from 14 exons. The record is from RefSeq and is a predicted model, not a curated record.
AUGCUCUAAUCAAGAAAAGGUCAGACUAAGAAAAGAAAGGUAGCAAAUUAAAAGUAUAUUUCAAGAUGAGGAUGGAGCUAUGCAGAGGACCAACCACAUUUGCAUGGACAAACACUAUAUCCUCUACUACUACUCUUCAAGUCCCUCAGACUCUCUUUGCAGGUGGGUCUAAAAGAAUUACAGUUUGGUGUGUGAAUGGAAGCAUUGACUCUGCUUCCUCUUCCAAGGAAAGUAAGAUGAUUGUAUCAGUCACUGGAGCUACUGGCUUUGUUGGGAAAAGAUUGGUGCAAAGAUUGCAUGCAGAUAAGCAUCAGAUUCGAGUGUUGACAAGGUCAAGAUCCAAAGCACAAUCAAUAUUUCCGGUUAAAGAGUUUCCAGGAAUUGUAAUUGCCGAGGAACCAGAGUGGAGAAACUGCAUUGAAGGUUCAACAGCUGUUGUAAAUUUGGCUGGAACGCCUAUUAGUACUAGAUGGUCCCCUGAGAUCAAGAAGGAUAUCAAGCAAAGCAGGAUUAGAGUAACCUCCAAGGUUGUAGAAUUAAUCAAUAAUUCACAGGAUGAUGCCCGUCCUAAAGUUUUAAUAAGUGCAACAGCAGUUGGUUAUUAUGGAACCAGUGAGACUCGAGUGUUUGAUGAGCAGAGUCCGUCAGGAAAUGACUACUUGGCUGAGGUUUGUAGAGAAUGGGAGGCAGCUGCCCUCAAAGUCAAUGACAAUGUCAGGCUUACUCUAAUUCGUAUUGGCGUUGUCCUCGGAAAAGAUGGUGGUGCUUUAGCUAAAAUGCUUCCUAUCUUCAUGAUGUUUGCCGGGGGACCUUUGGGCUCUGGAAACCAAUGGUUUUCUUGGAUUCAUCUGGACGACCUUGUGGAUUUGAUAUAUGAAGCUUUAUCCAAUCCAUCCUAUAAAGUAUAUCUUCGAGGUAGGGGUAAGAUCUGCGUACACUAUACCCUCCCCAGACCCCACGUGUGGGAUUACACUGGGGGUGAUAAAUGGAACUGCACCGAAUCCUAUAAGGAUGGGAGAAAUGUGUGAACAACUGGGAUCCGUUUUAGGGAGACCUUCCUGGUUACCAGUACCAGAAAUUGCACUGAAAGCUGUCCUAGGAGAAGGUGCAGCAGUGGUGUUGGACGGGCAGAAGGUGGUUCCAACAAAAGCCAAGGAGUUGGGGUUUUCAUUCAAAUACAGAUAUGUCAAAGACGCUCUGAAAGCAAUCAUGUCAUAACACCAUCAACCCAUAUUCUAUAUAGAGUAUAUAUCUUUGAGUUUCAACUCCAUAUGGUCCAAAAGAGUUUCGAGUUAAUCAUUUCAAUUGCAUGGGAAAGGAAAGAACACACAAAUAACUUCUUCUUGUCUGGGCAUAUCUGUUUUUUUCCCCCUUUAGUUUUGAUCAGCCAAAAUGCAAUUCAUAAACAUCAAGUAUGUACACCUUCAUAUCACACUCACAGACUAGCAUAUUCCUAGUUUACACUACAAUGGCCCCUUAUUUUGGUGGUCCUUUUCUUGA